AAAUUUAAUUCCAUCUAAACUUUUUGACAGAAUAUAUUUCCUUUUUUAAUAUGAAAAAUUACGGUCGCAAACUCGCAAUAAACUAAUUUCUGAAAAUGAUUACUUCAUAAAUUUGCAGUCCUUCGACUCCAAUUUUUUUAUUUUAGAAAUCUCUACAUUCAAAAUCUUCUUCUUCGUCUUCGUUUAUAUCGCGUAUUCACCUUCUAAUCCUAAGUUUCAGUGUCACAUUCUUCGAAACCCUAAGUUUCACCAUCACCUUCUAAACCCUAAGUAGUCGUUUAUAACAGCAAAUUGUCAUCUGUUUCAGAAAAUAUAUUAUAGCGUUUGAGGUGCGAUUUUCAGGUGCGAUUUUCAGGUACAAUUUCCAGGUGCAAUUUUCAGGUAGGAUUUGGAGGAGCGAUUUUCAGAGGCGAUAUAUAGUCCUUUCUCUCUAUAAAUCGUUGAUGAUUUUCAGAUACUGCCGUUCAUCGCCCAAACUGAAACGUUGUCUGAGAUAGAAGAUUAUAUUCUGGAGAGAGUUCUUGAGCCACACAGACAACAUUACACAUGAAACUUACAGAGACUCAAGAUGAUCUAGUCACUUUGCAGGUUUAGCUAUGUCCUACUUUAAAUCUUUGUUUCCUCUGAACUUUAUAUUGCCUGUAUGAGCUUUGAUUUUUAAUAUAUUAUGACAUGCUCGAAGCCUAUGUUAAAUGUUUGCAUCAAAGAGAUUUUAUGUACUGGAUUUGUGUUUCUGCAAUGGGUAUGAUGCUGCUCAUGCAGAUGUGGAGCUUCUUUAUGGAUAAGUCUUCUAUGGAUAUGAUUUGUAGUAGCUGGGUCAGGGGAGAUGGAAGUGGAAACCAAGAGAGAAACACUGGAGUUAAAAGAGAUAAUUUCAUACUUGGAGGUCCAUCAGAUUAUCAAUAUUUUUCAGAGGAUUCUUGGUAGAGGAGAAUUUGGAACAGAUACCAUGGUUACUUGGAUUAUCAUGAAGUUGCUGUGAAGAUGCUCUCUUCAUCCUCUAUUCAAAGGUGUAAAGAGUUCCAGGCAGAGGAGCUUUUGUGCCAACGUUUGCUAACAGAUCCUUAGAAGGUAAAUUAUACUAUUUAAGAAGGUAAUUCAUGCCUACAAAAUCCUGAAAUUGAAUAUGUUGUCGUAAAUUACAUAUGCUUGUUGUUCUUUCAGGAGUUAAAGCUGUCUUUAGUUUGAAGGUAUGUAACAAUGCUAGUUAAUUAUGUUUUUAUUAUUUCUAUGUUGAGAAAUCAAAUUAUCAUUUAAAUGGGUGUCCUUGAAAAUAUAUAUGUGCAAGGUUAAUUGACAGGAACCAAGUGAUACAUAAUGACUUUGAUGAUAAGCUUAUUUGCUUAUAAUAUAUGAAUUUGCAGGUUUGUACUACAUUUCCUUUCUCUUUUCAGUUCUCCACUCGUUGUAUAAAUAACCUCUUGAUAAUGCAAGACUGAUAAUGCUAUUAUUUUCGCUUUGCAGGUACUAAUAGAUAAUGCUAUUACUUUCACGUUCUAGGAAUAUCAUUCUCCAGCACAGGACAUUACUCGCUAAAGCAUUCUCACAAUUUGGCAAAAUUAUAUAAGCCAACAAUAUAUUACAGGGUUAUGGUUACGUGACUUUUUCUACUGAAGAUGAAGCUAAAGAGGCUUUGAUCCAGAUGAAUGAGGAGGUAAACUAAUUUCAAUUUUUAGUCUGGAUUAAUUUAGUUUAAUUUGUAGUCUUUCUCUUUCAUCCAAUGUGCAGAGCUAGUGUGCUAUAAAGCCUAAAAUUAUAAUGAGAUCACCAAAGUCUUGAAGUCUAAUGGCAUACAUGUGUGUAUAUAAUGAUGGUCGAGGGUCAAUUCCAUUGGAGUAUCGCCUAAAGUGCCGCGACUGCUUCAUGAAUCAAAGAUAAAAUGAUUUUCUAGUUUUGUCACAAGAGACUUUAGAUUCUUUUUUUCCAACAAUGUCUUAUGUUAGAUUGGCAUUAUUUAUGU
Mercurialis annua (annual mercury) is the source of this 1960-nucleotide long non-coding RNA. RefSeq lists it as uncharacterized. NCBI's taxonomy places the organism in Eukaryota, Viridiplantae, Streptophyta, Magnoliopsida, Malpighiales, Euphorbiaceae. The record is from RefSeq and is a predicted model, not a curated record. The transcript has 6 exons.